Nasonia vitripennis (jewel wasp) is the source of this 3173-nucleotide RNA transcript. It is a transcript of the gene named ankyrin-3-like, with no coding region annotated. The transcript is spliced from 4 exons. The record is from RefSeq and is a predicted model, not a curated record. Lineage: Eukaryota; Metazoa; Arthropoda; Insecta; Hymenoptera; Pteromalidae.
GGCUAGCAGCGUCAGUUGAGUACCGAACUCGGAGCUGUGCGCUUCGCUGCAUUCCUGUACUUUAAAUAAUUUUUCCCUUCGAUAUAACCUUCUGCAUCGAAGCUCGUCUGCGUCGUUUAUUGUGAGCCAUUUCUCUCUCACAGGAAUCACUCGUGAGUACUUCCAGUACGCUAAGAUAUCAGCAAGUAUACAACCGACCGGCGACGAGGCUCUCCUCCAAACAGUAGCAUAAUAUCCCAUCGUGUCGCACUUCCGAAUAACGGAGAUGUUCCCAUUCUCGACGUUAGAUCUGAACGUAUCCAAACUCGUUAAAAGCUAUGACCGCACGCUGUACCAAUUUCUCGACGAGAUCUUUUGCAAGCGCCGUUUUGAAGCCAGCAGACAUCUCGCGGAAUUUCUUCGAGACCCCGUUCGAAAAUACAAAAUCAAUCAGAUCCUAGAGCAUGAGCCCGUCCUCAGCAGGUACUUUUCAAAAGAAGAGCUUGGACAGCUCUCACUUCUGUGGAUCGCUCUCUUGGGCUCUUAUUACGAUUCAGCCGAGCUUCUCGUGCGCACUGGUGCCGAAGUCAACGAGGUCUUCGGAAGAGGCGGUCUUGAGGUGAUCGACGGGAUGUCGACCCUUCUCCACCUGCUGCUUCAGAAGGAUCCCUCUCCGGAGAACGAGCGACUCAUCAGUCUGAUCAUUGGCAGUGGCGCCAACUUCCAAGCUCGGGACCUCAAGGGACGAAGCCCCCUGUACUUGGCGGUGACGAGAAACCGAAUCAAUAUGAUCGAAAUGUUGCUGGAAAAAGGAGCCGAUAUGAAUGCUGCUGCCAAAAAUGGCUUGACACCACUGUUCGAAGCUGUUAAAAUCAAUGCUAAAGAGCUGCUACCAUUAUUCAUUAAAGAUGUAUCCGCCAAAGAUUCAAACGGCAGAAAUGUCUUAUCUCUGCUGGCAUUCGCUCCUAAAGAGCAGCGCACCGUAGACAUAGCGAGAGGCUUCAUCGAAAAGGGUUGCUCGCUCGAGGAUAGGGAGCACGUUGGCCUUCUGCUCCAGCCGAUACACCGAGCAGCCCAGGUGGGGCACGAUGAGUUGGUGAAGCUCUAUUUGGGCCACGGCGCUGACGCAAAUUCGCUAGGGUCGGAUGACUUGACUCCACUGUACAUGGCAGCUGCGAAUGGGCACGUGGAAGUUGUGAAGACUCUGCUUAAUCAUGGGGCGAACGUUAAUCAAAGAAGAUCUCAUAGCGGUUACACUGCAUUGCACGCAGUCUGUGUGGUCUGUGAAUCCUCAAGAGACACAGAGGUCAUCGAAUUACUUUUGUCCGCCGGGGCGGAUAUACUCAUCGAGGGCAACUACGGCCACGAGACGCCUUUCGCUUUUACGCGACCUAGCUUUUGUUUAGAGAAUACGCAAUACCGAUGCAUCAGGCUUUUGCUCAGAGCGUUGGCUUUGAUAAAAGUUAGCCAACCGUCGAUUGAGUUAAAGGACGAAACGAUCAUCAAGCCGGAGGUGGACAUGCAGACGUACUACGAAAAAUGCAUCGAAGAGGCCGAGAGGGCGAAAUCCUCGAGGUUCAUCAGGAGCUGCACGUUUUUCGACCUCCUCACGAAAUGCCACUGUCAGAUCGCCCCACUCAUGCGUAAUCCUGAGUUCGAGACGGAAUUCAAGAAGUUCAACUUGAAGGAAUUUCCAAUGUAUGCCGGAGACGCAGUCCGAGCUUUCAAGCGCGCUGAAGAGCACUAUCAAUCCAUCCUAGAAUUUGAAGAGCUGAUCAACGAGUCUAUUUGCUAUAUCUUGCCUUAUAUGCUUGUGAGGCAAAUCCUUGACCACAUACCUAUUGUGCAUACUUGUCGCAAACGUGUGAAAUAAGCAAUAUUGUGGUUAAAUAUUGAAAUAUUAUAGUUAACCGCACGCAUAACUCGAAAUCCUCAUUCGGUUUUUCCCUAGUGGAAAUGAAAAAUGUAAUAAAGUGGAAUAAAAUAUAAGAAAAUGUAACAAAUCGUACCAUUUUGUACGUUUUUGUUGAAUUUCGGACCUUUUUUACGUUUUAUUACAGUUUGCUACAUUUUAUUACAUUUUGUUACGUUUUAUUACAAUUUAUUACAAAUCCAUUGAUCCAGGAUUUCAUGGGGGACUCUUCUUUAAAAAGACAAAUGUACGCCAAUUCAUUUCGUUCUAUAAUUUUAAUUUACACCUAGCCUAACAUAGUACAAUGUAAAACAUGGUUUAACUGCCUGCUAAUAAGGAUUAAAACUAAAAUGGAUAAAGAUCGUCCGGAUAUAUCCUGCAGGUGAUAGUAGUAUACCUAUAUAAGUAUAUAGAUAUUUAUUGAUAUUUUUUUUAAUGUUUAUGCAUGCGAGAGAAAUAACAGAAAGGGGUGAGAGGCUUUUGCGAACGAAAUGAGAUUUAUAAUGUCAGCGGCGUGACUGUACACAUCGGUGAAAAUUUGGAGUUUUCGCUCGGAAGAACCAGAGCGAAAAGCGGAAGCUGAACUGAGACUCUUAUAAUUUUACUUAGGAGAAGCCCUAGCUGUUUUUUUUUUUGAUGAUGGACAUCAACUGCGGACAGUCUGUUUUCUUGCUUGAUAGGAAAAACGAGCUAAAUAAGCUUAUGUUACAGAGGGUAUUCACAUUCUGUAACAGUUUUUUUAUAACUACGAAUAUGAUGUUUUCCAGUAAUAUAACGGUACUUCAAUUAAAAAUCCCCGCUUUUAUCAGUGCUUCAAUAUUGUAUUUUCUAUCCCGCUAGAUAUUGAUCUUGAUCGAAUGCGCUAUAAACACGCAGAAGCGAUAUAAGUAGCAGAUAAAGAAAUGUAUAUAUAAAAGCACACAGCAGAUUUCAAAAUGAUCAGACUGUAAAGUAUCUUGAAAUCAUCAACACACUACCAGACCAAUUUCACUAACCGCCAAAAUGAGUCAAACUCUUACCUACCUUUUGCUCUUGGUCGUCCUUAUCGCCUGUCUGACUAAUGGCGCUGUUGCGGCGGCUGAAUGGGGAUGCAGCAGCAACAGCGAAUGCGGAACGUGCAGCUGUACUGGUGGAUAUUGCGUCUGUCCCGAUGGAGUGGUCUAAAUCAGCUGAGAAGCCUUAUCGUCCUUUUAUUGAUUGAUUUCGAGAAGAACAAUGUAGCUUUAUAACUUGAUUAAUUUUUCUAAUCCACUAAAAUAAAUGAUUUAUAGUAUUCCAUAAA